ACUCUUAAACAGCUUUUUAUACUGAUUAACUUGAGUAAUUGAGAAGAUAGUGGGAUUUUUGGUGGAGAGUAAAAUUCGUUGAUAUCAAAAGGACGAACUUGCGAAGGCAACUGUCUAUUAGUUACUGACACUGAGAUACAAAAGUAUGGGAUUAAAGAGGAUUAGAGACCCUUGUAAUCCAUACCGUGACCGAUGAGUAUUGAAUUUUUCAUUAAAUUUUUAAGCUAACGCGUAAAUACUCCGCCUGGGACUAAGGUCGCAAGAUUAAAACUCAAAGAAAUUGACGGAGAUUUGACCAAGUAGUGGAGCAUGUGGUUUAAUCCGAUAGUCCGCGUAAAAUCUUACCAAUUCUAGUUUGAUUGUAAAAAUAUUUAGAAAUAUUAAAUAAGUUGAUAUUUAUUUGAGAAAUAAAUACAACAACAAUCAAUCAGGUGUUGCAUGGCUGUCGUCAGUUCGUGUUGUGAAAUUUCUGGUUAAUUCCAGGAACGGCGAAAUCCUUUGAUUAUGUUUUGAUCAUAAUUUAUUGCUAA
Molecule: ribosomal RNA, 530 nt
Filed under: uncultured eukaryote
Lineage: Eukaryota
Description: bacterial SSU rRNA
Rfam family: Bacterial small subunit ribosomal RNA
Source: RNAcentral